This 301-nucleotide ribosomal RNA is filed under the name uncultured bacterium. RNAcentral describes it as "partial 16S ribosomal RNA". It matches the Rfam family "Bacterial small subunit ribosomal RNA", at positions 509 to 809 of the family's 1533-position model. The record is from RNAcentral.
CAGUCGCCGCGGGAAUACGUAGGGUGCGAGCGUUAAUCGGAAUUACUGGGCGUAAAGCGUGCGCAGGCGGUUUUGUAAGACAGGCGUGAAAUCCCCGGGCUCAACCUGGGAAUGGCGCUUGUGACUGCAAAGCUAGAGUGCGGCAGAGGGGGAUGGAAUUCCGCGUGUAGCAGUGAAAUGCGUAGAUAUGCGGAGGAACACCGAUGGCGAAGGCAAUCCCCUGGGCCUGCACUGACGCUCAUGCACGAAAGCGUGGGGAGCAAACAGGAUUAGAUACCCCUGUAGUCCCUGUCUCUUAUAA